Pipistrellus kuhlii (Kuhl's pipistrelle) is the source of this 107-nucleotide small nuclear RNA. NCBI's taxonomy places the organism in Eukaryota, Metazoa, Chordata, Mammalia, Chiroptera, Vespertilionidae. The record is from RefSeq and is a predicted model, not a curated record.
GUGCUUGCUUUGGCAGUACAUAUAUUAAAAUUGGAAUGGAACAGAGAAGAUUAGGAUGCCCCCUGUACAAGGAUGGCAUACACAUUUGUGAAGCAUUCCAUAUUUAA